This 362-nucleotide ribosomal RNA is filed under the name Salmonella enterica subsp. enterica serovar Mbandaka. Its description in RNAcentral is "partial 23S ribosomal RNA". It matches the Rfam family "Bacterial large subunit ribosomal RNA", at positions 454 to 816 of the family's 2925-position model. The record is from RNAcentral. RNAcentral also lists the same sequence under 2 other names. Lineage: Bacteria; Pseudomonadati; Pseudomonadota; Gammaproteobacteria; Enterobacterales; Enterobacteriaceae.
CAUCCUCCAAGGCUAAAUACUCCUGACUGACCGAUAGUGAACCAGUACCGUGAGGGAAAGGCGAAAAGAACCCCGGCGAGGGGAGUGAAAAAGAACCUGAAACCGUGUACGUACAAGCAGUGGGAGCACAGGUUUACCUGUGUGACUGCGUACCUUUUGUAUAAUGGGUCAGCGACUUAUAUUCUGUAGCAAGGUUAACCGAAUAGGGGAGCCGUAGGGAAACCGAGUCUUAACCGGGCGUUAAGUUGCAGGGUAUAGACCCGAAACCCGGUGAUCUAGCCAUGGGCAGGUUGAAGGUUGGGUAACACUAACUGGAGGACCGAACCGACUAAUGUUGAAAAAUUAGCGGAUGACCUGUGGCU